RNAcentral lists this small nuclear RNA (193 nucleotides) under Exserohilum turcica Et28A. RNAcentral describes it as "Setosphaeria turcica Et28A U2 spliceosomal RNA". It matches the Rfam family "U2 spliceosomal RNA". Rfam says of the family: U2 is a small nuclear RNA (snRNA) component of the spliceosome (involved in pre-mRNA splicing). Complementary binding between U2 snRNA (in an area lying towards the 5' end but 3' to hairpin I) and the branchpoint sequence (BPS) of the intron results the bulging out of an unpaired adenosine, on the BPS, which initiates a nucleophilic attack at the intronic 5' splice site, thus starting the first of two transesterification reactions that mediate splicing. The record is from Rfam by way of RNAcentral. Lineage: Eukaryota; Fungi; Ascomycota; Dothideomycetes; Pleosporales; Pleosporaceae.
UUAGCUCUCUUUGCCUUUUGGCUUAGAUCAAGUGUAGUAUCUGUUCUUUUCAGUUUAAUCUCUGAAACGUCACUACGGUGAAAUUCAAGAUUAUUCUUAUUUUUGCACCCCGCUGACGGGUCCCUGGGCUUGCUCACACUCGUCGGCACAGUGUCGCUUCUAUCCGCACUUCUUGAAGCCGACGCGAAUGGUA